Molecule: ribosomal RNA, 447 nt
Filed under: uncultured bacterium
Lineage: Bacteria
Description: bacterial SSU rRNA
Rfam family: Bacterial small subunit ribosomal RNA
Source: RNAcentral
UGGGGAAUCUUGGACAAUGGGCGCAAGCCUGAUCCAGCCAUGCCGCGUGAGUGAAGAAGGCCUUCGGGUUGUAAAGCUCUUUUACCAGGGACGAUAAUGACGGUACCUGGAGAAUAAGCCCCGGCAAACUUCGUGCCAGCAGCCGCGGUAAUACGAAGGGGGCUAGCGUUGUUCGGAAUUACUGGGCGUAAAGCGCACGUAGGCGGAUUGUUAAGUCAGAGGUGAAAUCCCGGAGCUCAACUUCGGAACUGCCUUUGAUACUGGCAAUCUAGAGUCCGGAAGAGGUUAGUGGAAUUCCCAGUGUAGAGGUGAAAUUCGUAGAUAUUGGGAAGAACACCAGUGGCGAAGGCGGCUAACUGGUCCGGUACUGACGCUGAGGUGCGAAAGCGUGGGGAGCAAACAGGAUUAGAUACCCCGGUAGUCCCUGAGCGGGCUGGCAAGGCGCAU